RNAcentral lists this unclassified non-coding RNA (250 nucleotides) under Glomus sp. RNAcentral's name for it is "partial internal transcribed spacer 2". The record is from RNAcentral. Lineage: Eukaryota; Fungi; Glomeromycota; Glomeromycetes; Glomerales; Glomeraceae.
GUGAAUCAUCGAAUUUUUGAACGCAAAUUGCACUCUCCUGGAUGAGUAUGCGCGUUUGUGUGUCAGCCUCUAAAAAAUCGACAUAGUUGCUGUUUCGCGGUGGCGUUCGUCGGAAAUUGGGUCAUAUUAAAUCCUUUUGAUUUAAGCGACUUAAAAUUUUCUUUUGGUUUCAUGAACGUUUCUAUGAUCUAUUUCUUUACACGUGUAAGGUAUCGAUUUCUACUAGCCGUUAUCAUCAUAUCGGAUCGCG